Molecule: long non-coding RNA, 314 nt
Organism: Poecilia latipinna (sailfin molly)
Lineage: Eukaryota; Metazoa; Chordata; Actinopteri; Cyprinodontiformes; Poeciliidae
Exons: 3
Source: RefSeq, a predicted model, not a curated record
CUGAUGUAAACUUGUUCCUGACAAGUGUGGCUCUCUACUGUUCGAAUUGUCUCCUAAUCAUUGUCAUCAUCUUCCUGUGUGUCAAAGUCAUUAAACAUCGUAAAGUUAACACUCAGGAUGGAAACUCACGUCAAAAUGAGGACCCUGGCUCUCACGAGCUGACCUACGCCUCGGUCAGCUUCGAGAAAGGUGGAAAGAGAAGGAGAGAGGUGGAGCCAGACGUCGUGUACGCCGCCACCAGAUAGAGAAGAACUGCAGCACAGAGAAACUGAUGUGAAACUGAACUGUCAAUAAAUAGCAGAGAGACCAACAUC